CCUACGGGGGGCAGCAGUGAGGAAUAUUGGUCCAUGGGCGCGAGCCUGAACCAGCCAAGCCGCGUGAGGGAAGACGGUCCUAUGGAUUGUAAACCUCUUUUGUCGGGGAGCAAAAGACGCCACGCGUGGCUUUCCGAGAGUACCCGAAGAAAAAGCAUCGACUAACUCCGUGCCAGCAGCCGCGGUAAUACGGGGGAUGCGAGCGUUAUCGGGAUUUAUUGGGUUUAAGGGGUGCGCAGGCGGAAGAUCAGGUCAGCGGUAAAAUUGAGGGGCUCAACCUCUUCGAGCCGUUGAAACUGGUCUUCUUGAGUGAGUGAGAGGUAUGCGGAAUGCGUGGUGUAGCGGUGAAAUGCAUAGAUAUCACGCAGAACUCCGAUUGCGAAGGCAGCAUACCGGCGCUCAACUGACGCUCAGGCACGAAAGUGUGGGUAUCGAACAGGAUUAGAUACCCUUGUAGUC
RNAcentral lists this ribosomal RNA (459 nucleotides) under uncultured bacterium. RNAcentral's name for it is "partial 16S ribosomal RNA". It matches the Rfam family "Bacterial small subunit ribosomal RNA", at positions 338 to 795 of the family's 1533-position model. The record is from RNAcentral.